Molecule: long non-coding RNA, 138 nt
Organism: Chelonia mydas (Green sea turtle)
Lineage: Eukaryota; Metazoa; Chordata; Testudines; Cheloniidae
Exons: 3
Source: RefSeq, a predicted model, not a curated record
UUGGAUUCAGAUAUUUAUUCUGAUAGUAGUUGUCCCGAUCUUCUUCAUCUCUGUCAUCAACCUGUUCAUCAGUUAUAAAAGAAAUCACAGGGAACAGCAUGAUCCUGAAGCAGGACCACUCCUGGAGGACCAUGGUAA